Canis lupus familiaris (dog) is the source of this 2357-nucleotide long non-coding RNA. RefSeq lists it as uncharacterized. The transcript has 3 exons. Lineage: Eukaryota; Metazoa; Chordata; Mammalia; Carnivora; Canidae. The record is from RefSeq and is a predicted model, not a curated record.
UAAAUUUAAAAAAAAUUAAAAAAAAAAAAAGAUUGCCUUACUCAUUUGGGAGGCAGGAGACCUUAGGUCAUUACCAUUCUUUUUAUGAUCUGGAAUUCGGAUGUGCUGGGUAAUGCUCUGGCAGCCAUUUUGUGAUUGUGGAGUGACCUUACAGAUGCUAUAUGCUAAGGAUGACAGAGUAGGAACAGAGAAGGAGCUUGUGGACCUACCAUUCCAGCCCUGUCCUAUUUCUGAAGUUCAUGUUACAUGAGAAAAAAUUCAACCCUUCCCUAUUUAAGAGACUGUUCUUUCUGGUCUUUGCUACUAGUCCCUAAAUUCAGUUCCUGAUACUGAAUAAACCAACCUGAUGUAUAAGAGCAGUCCAACAAAUGUCAGUGACUGUCUCUGCCUCCUCCACCCCCUCACUCUAGCCACACACACACUCUUCCUCCUCUGAUCAGUAACUGGACAUCUAGCUUGCUGGGAGGCUGGUGGAGCUUGGUGGAAUCUCAGAAACUCACAAAGGACUGAUGCAUGGAUCAUGCCCAGCCCACAGAAAAUCUCUUGGCCGAGGGUCUUCAUUUCUGCCUGGCAACAGUCAGCUGAGAGCAUUGGAAGAUGCAUGAUAAGCUCUGCUGUGCUGAUGAAGUCUCUUCUGUGACCUGCAUGCUCCUCAGUUUCCUGGACGUCUGAGGAAACUUCAGCUGCUGGGGCUGCACCUCCAGCCGGGGUGACCCUACUGGAGCUGUUCAAUGCAGUCUCGUUUCCUUUCUUUUUUUUUUUUUAGAUUCAUUCAUUCAUUCAUUCAUUCAUUCAUUCAUUCAUUCAUGAGAGACACAGAGAGAGGGAGAGAGGCAGAGACACAGGCAGAGGGAGAAGCAGGCUCCAUGCAGGGAGCGACGUGGGACUUGAUCCCGGGUCUCCAGGAUCACACCCUGGGCUGAAGGCGGUGCUAAACCGCUGAGCCACCCGGGCUGCCCCAGAGUCUCUGUUUCAGUCUGAUGGAAAUCCUCACGUCCUUGGUCAUUAACUACUCUUGGAAAAUUGAAUGCCCAUGCAGUUUUCACAAACAUAGGAGAGUAAAACAAAAGCUGUUUUGAUUAUAAGUAACUUGUAGCUAUAAUUCUUUAUGAGUUAUACAGCGUGCAGUAUGUUGUGUCUUUGCAUUAGCAGCUUUAAGCUAAAUAGUGCCACAAUGAACACAGAGCAAGUUCUCAGUAGAUUGGCUUGGGAUGAAGAGAGGAAACAGCUAAGUGGAAUUGGCAUUCCGAGGUCUGCUCCAAAUUCUUAGGGUUAAUUCUCCCUGGCUCAUGGGUACUAAUGGGAUUUCACAGUACACAGGAUGGUGACUGGGCAACAGGCCUAGGAGAUUCUCUGCCUGCUUUGGAGAUGGUUUCUGUGGGAAGCAGGACUCUUGCCGGGGCACCCAGAUGCCUGGGUUCACUUGCACAGACCACAGUAAAUGGGUGUGGGGUGGGCCAGAUGGAGCAGGGGCGGGCUGAUGCAGCCUGGGUGCAGGUAGGUUCUGUUGGCUUAUGUUGGCUGAUGUCCCAGUUAUAUUGUAAGAUGUGUUUAUAACUGUCAGAUUGCUUGAUUUUCAUAGGAAACAUAGUGAAUCGCCUUAUUAUAUAAAAAGAAAACUGAAAAACAGAAUGUCCUAAAGGCUUUAUUCCAUAUAGACUUAUGAAUACGGUCAUUAUAUGACAGUUCUGUGGGAGAAGAGUGAACUCUGGAGGCUAGCCCACUUACCAGAUUUUCAUUUCUUUUCAGAGCAGUGUUACUUGGGGUCCAAGUGUGAAUUUUUAUUUUUGAGAAUUUGGCCAUGUGUUCAUUAUCUAGGCCUGUUUUGGUGCUCCAUCAUAUCCAAACAUUGUCUACCCCAAUAUUAUUUUCUAGUUAUUCCAACAGAAAAUCUGGUGUGUCUUGAGAAAAACUACUGCCAUGACUUAUUAAUGGAUUAACUGGGAUUAAUUUUCAUGGGGUUCAUUCACCCAAAUUUAUCGUAGAAUAUAAUUUAAGAAAAGAAUAGAAUAAUUCAAUUAAAGUUCUUUUUUGGAAUAAUAUUAGCCUUCAGGGAUCCCCAGCCCCCCGUGGACACUGCGGUUACUGAUGUGUCAGACUGCUCCUUUAAGACAUGAGCUGCAAGCCCCUCCUUCAUCGUUGGGCUGGCUCUCUUCCACUUGCCCCUCGGACCUCUCUUCCCUCUUCCCUGCCCUGUGUAGACUGCAUCAGUGGGCUCCUUGUCCUCUGGCUUCCAGGGAGGUCAGGGAAUGCAGGGUGGAGAGUGAGAUCAGUGUAUUUUAAUCCCUGGCUCCCCCUCAGGGCCACCACAGCUGGCGGUGUCCUGCAGCCUGUCUGUCAGCCCCCUCCUUUCCCUU